Molecule: ribosomal RNA, 515 nt
Filed under: uncultured bacterium
Lineage: Bacteria
Description: partial 16S ribosomal RNA
Rfam family: Bacterial small subunit ribosomal RNA
Source: RNAcentral
GAUGAACGCUGGCGGCGUGCCUAAUACAUGCAAGUCGAGCGAAUGGAUUAAGAGCUUGCUCUUAUGAAGUUAGCGGCGGAUGGGUGAGUAACACGUGGGUAACCUGCCCAUAAGACUGGGAUAACUCCGGGAAACCGGGGCUAAUACCGGAUAACAUUUUGAACCGCAUGGUUCGAAAUUGAAAGGCGGCUUCGGCUGUCACUUAUGGCUGGACCCGCGUCGCAUUAGCUAGUUGGUGAGGUAACGGCUCACCAAGGCAACGAUGCGUAGCCGACCUGGGAGGGUGAUCGGCCACACUGAGAGUGAGACACGGCCCAGACUCCUACGGGAGGCAGCAGUAGGGAAUCUUCCGCAAUGGACGAAAGUCUGACGGAGCAACGCCGCGUGAGUGAUGAAGGCUUUCGGGUCGUAAAACUCUGUUGUUAGGGAAGAACAAGUGCUAGUUGAAUAAGCUGGCACCUUGACGGUACCUAACCAGAAAGCCACGGCUAACUACGUGCCAGCCGCCGCAGUAA